AGGCAGCAGUGGGGAAUAUUGCACAAUGGGCGCAAGCCUGAUGCAGCCAUGCCGCGUGUAUGAAGAAGGCCUUCGGGUUGUAAAGUACUUUCAGCGAGGAGGAAGGCAUUGUGGUUAAUAACCGCAGUGAUUGACGUUACUCGCAGAAGAAGCACCGGCUAACUCCGUGCCAGCAGCCGCGGUAAUA
Molecule: ribosomal RNA, 187 nt
Filed under: uncultured bacterium
Lineage: Bacteria
Description: partial 16S ribosomal RNA
Rfam family: Bacterial small subunit ribosomal RNA
Source: RNAcentral